UAAAAGAUGGCCGAGUAGGUGAUAGACUGUAAAUCUAUAGACGAGGACACCCUCUCUUUUAA
RNAcentral lists this transfer RNA (62 nucleotides) under Smilium sinense. Its description in RNAcentral is "tRNA-Tyr". It matches the Rfam family "tRNA". Rfam says of the family: Transfer RNA (tRNA) molecules are approximately 80 nucleotides in length. Lineage: Eukaryota; Metazoa; Arthropoda; Thecostraca; Calanticomorpha; Calanticidae. The record is from RNAcentral.